GAUGAGCGCUGGCGGCGUGCUUAACACAUGCAAGUCGAACGGAGAUAUCUUUGACAGAGACUUCGGUCAAAGUCGUUGGUAUCUUAGUGGCGGACGGGUGAGUAACGCGUGGGUAACCUGCCUUAUACUGGGGGAUAACAGCCAGAAAUGGCUGCUAAUACCGCAUAAGCGCACAGUGCCGCAUGGCACAGUGUGAAAAACUCCGGUGGUAUAAGAUGGACCCGCGUUGGAUUAGCUAGUUGGCAGGGCAGCGGCCUACCAAGGCGACGAUCCAUAGCCGGCCUGAGAGGGUGAACGGGCCACAUUGGGACUGAGACACGGCCCAGACUCCUACGGGAGGCAGCAGUGGGGAAUAUUGCACAAUGGGGGAAACCCUGGGUGCAGCGACGCCGCGUGAA
This 398-nucleotide ribosomal RNA is filed under the name uncultured bacterium. Its description in RNAcentral is "bacterial SSU rRNA". It matches the Rfam family "Bacterial small subunit ribosomal RNA", at positions 28 to 405 of the family's 1533-position model. The record is from RNAcentral.